UCCCUGGUGGCUCAGCUGGUAAAGAAUCUGCCUGCAAUGCAGAAGACCUGGGUUUGAUCCCUGGAUUGGGAA
This 72-nucleotide transfer RNA is filed under the name Ovis aries (sheep). It matches the Rfam family "tRNA". From Rfam's summary of the family: Transfer RNA (tRNA) molecules are approximately 80 nucleotides in length. Their secondary structure includes four short double-helical elements and three loops (D, anti-codon, and T loops). The record is from Rfam by way of RNAcentral. Lineage: Eukaryota; Metazoa; Chordata; Mammalia; Artiodactyla; Bovidae.